Non-coding RNA from Gossypium hirsutum (cotton), 129 nucleotides. The record is from Rfam. Lineage: Eukaryota; Viridiplantae; Streptophyta; Magnoliopsida; Malvales; Malvaceae.
UGUUAAAAAUUUCAUCCAUUUUUGCUGUUAAAAAUUGACCCAGGCAAUUACAUGUGGCGUGCCACAUAUACCUCAUUUUGAUGUACAUGGAUUAGUUUUUAACACUAGAAAUGGAUGGAAUUUUUAACA